Molecule: ribosomal RNA, 390 nt
Filed under: uncultured bacterium
Lineage: Bacteria
Description: bacterial SSU rRNA
Rfam family: Bacterial small subunit ribosomal RNA
Source: RNAcentral
AUUGAACACUGGCGGCAUGCCUUACACAUGCAAGUCGAACGGCAGCACGGGAGCAAUCCUGGUGGCGAGUGGCGAACGGGUGAGUAACAUAUCGGAACGUGCCCGGUAGUGGGGGAUAACCCGGCGAAAGUCGGACUAAUACCGCAUACGACCUACGGGUGAAAGCGGGGGAUCGCAAGACCUCGCGCUAUUGGAGCGGCCGAUAUCAGAUUAGCUAGUUGGUGGGGUAAAGGCCUACCAAGGCGACGAUCUGUAGCUGGUCUGAGAGGACGACCAGCCACACUGGGACUGAGACACGGCCCAGACUCCUACGGGAGGCAGCAGUGGGGAAUUUUGGACAAUGGGCGCAAGCCUGAUCCAGCCAUGCCGCGUGCGGGAAGAAGGCCUCGG